This is a small nuclear RNA of Echinops telfairi (small Madagascar hedgehog), 108 nucleotides long. NCBI's taxonomy places the organism in Eukaryota, Metazoa, Chordata, Mammalia, Afrosoricida, Tenrecidae. The record is from RefSeq and is a predicted model, not a curated record.
GUGCUUGCUUUGGCAGCACAUAUACUACACAUGGGAAGGAGACACAGACGAUUAGGGCGGCCCCUGUACAUGGAUGGCACACACAUUGAUGAGACACUCCAUAUUAAU